Molecule: long non-coding RNA, 4553 nt
Organism: Oncorhynchus masou masou (cherry salmon)
Lineage: Eukaryota; Metazoa; Chordata; Actinopteri; Salmoniformes; Salmonidae
Exons: 4
Source: RefSeq, a predicted model, not a curated record
CAAAAUGGCAGCGCCCAUACCAAGUAUUGUAAGGAUUUUAUGCCGUGUGUCCGCUUUACUUAAUCGAAUAUUCUGCAGAAUCUGGUAUUUGACAAUUAUUGUCUAUAGUACAUCAGAUAAGCAAAAGCUUGGACGUCUGCUGCGCACACACAUCACGAAACAGUGACCGAGCUAAAGUGUGCAGUCCAGCCUGUCUGUGCACUGCAGCCUGAUACCCCCAGUGAUGCAGUGGAGGCUCUUGCCACCGACAGAGCAAAGAGUACAUAGAGUGCUAUGGACAAGUCCAGUGUGGUCUGACUACAGGAGGAACCACAAUGGAGGGAUCCUCCCUUCAGAAGACACACACAACCUACAUUAGAUGAGACAAGAUAUUUGGGAACCCCCAUCCAAUUUGUCGAGACCCCAACGUCAUCAUCCACUAUCAGGUUUGGUCUCUCACAUUGACUUAUGGAAUACACACACACACACACACAAUCAUUACGAGAGAUGGAAAAUUAGAUGGCAUUUCCUUUGAUUUUGUGAGGUUGAUUUUAACAAGCUAUUCAAUGUUAUGUUUGGUAAGCAAUGGACCAUUGUCUUUCUGCAAAAUGUGAAGCUGCUGCAACAGUUUAUCAGUCCAUAUACAGGCGUAGUGUAUGACCCCACACGGACAGGUAAGAUACAGUAUCUACAGAAAGUAUUCAUACCCGUUGACUUGUUCCAAAUUUUAUGUUAUAGCCAUAUUCUAAAUGGAUUAAAAACUAUUUAAAAAAUCCUCAGCAAUCUGCACACAAUAAAUACCCCAUAAUGACAAAGCAAAAACAGUAAAAAAAAUAAAAUAUAUAACUGAUACCUUAAUUACAUAAGUAUUCAGACCCUUUGCUAUGCGACUUGAAAUUGAGCACAGGUGCAUCCUGUUUCCAUUGAUCAUCCUUGAGAUGUUUCAACAACUUGAUUGGAGUUCACCUGUGAUCAUUUCAAUUGAUUGGACAUGUUUUGGAAAGGCACCCACCUGUCGAUGAGGUCCCACAGUUGACAGAGCAAAAACCAAGCCAUGAGGCCGGGCCGGCCAAACUGAGCAAUUGUAGGAGAAGGGCCUUAGUCAGGGAGGUGACUAAGAGCCCGAUGGUCACUCUGACAGAGUUCCUCUGUGGAGAUAGAACUUUCCAGAAGGACAACCAUAUCUGCAGCACUCCACCAAUCAGGGAUUAAUAGUAGAGUGGACAGACAGGAGCCACUCCUCAGUAAAAUGCACAUGACUGCCCGCUUGGAGUUUGCCAAAAGGCACCUAAUGACUCUCAGACCAUGAAACCCAAGAUUGAACUCUUUGGCCUGAAUGCCAAGCAUCACGUCUGGAGGAAACCUGGCACCAUCCCUACGGUGAAGCAUGGUGGUGGCAGCAUCGUGUUGUGGGUAUGUUUUUCGGCAGCAGGGACAGGGAGACUAUUCAGGAUCGAGGCAAAGAUGAACGGUGCAAAGUACAGAGUGAUCCUUAAUGAAAACCUGCUCCAGAGUGCUCAGGACCUCAGACUGGGGUGAAGUUUCACCUUCCAACAAGACUACGACCCUAAUCACACAGCCAAGACAACGCAGGAGUGGCUUCUGGACAAGUCUCUGAAUGUCCUUGAGUGGCCCAGCCAGUGCCCGGAUUUAUACCUGAUCGAACAUCUCUGGAGAGACCUGAAAAUAGCUGUGCAGCGACACUCCCAUCCAUCCUGACAGAGCUAGAGAUGAUCUGCAGAGAAGAAUGGGAAAGACUCCCCAAAUACAGGUGUGCCAAUCUUGUAGCACCAUACCCAAGAAGACUCUAGGCUGUAAUCGGUCAAAGGUGCUUGAACAAAGUACAGAGUAAAGGGUCUGAAUAGUUAUGUAAAUGUGAUAUUUCCCCAAACAUGUUUUUGCUUUGUUGUCAUUGGGUGUUGAUUGUGUGUAGAUUGAUGAAGAAAAACAUUUUUUUUAGUCCUUUUUAGAAUAAGGCUGGAACCGAACAAAAUGUGGAAAAUGUCAAGGGGUCUGAAUGCUUUCCGAAGGCAAUGUUUGUGUUCAAUUUAUGUAAUGUGAAAACAAUUUUAUGAAUGACUCUGAAUCAACCGUGAUGAUUUCUGCAGGUGUUAUCUACAUUUUGCGUUGGACUUGUAACCGAAAGGUUGCAAGAUCGAAUCCCCGAGCUGACAAGGUGAAAAUCUGUCCUUCUGCCCCUGAACAAGUCAGUUAACCCACUGUUCCGAGGCCAUCAUUGAAAAUAAGAAUUUGUUCUUUACUGACUUGCCUAGUUAAAUAAAGGUAAAAAAUAAUAUAUAAAAAAAAUGCUUGCUGGUUUCAUCGAAAAAUGUUGUCUUUGAUUAAAUGAAUUUACACACACAGCCAAGAAUCUGAGAGGCUGCCAAUAGGUGUUUCAGUGAUGAAAACCUUUCUGCAUAAAGUAACAUCUGGUUCAAGACUGUUCCUAGGCCGUCAUUGAAAAUAAGAAUUUGUUCUUAACUGACUUGCCUGGUUAAAUAAAGGUAAAAUUAAAAAAUUAAAGACAACAGAUCUAUAACACUUCUAUGUGAAUUUGGUCAGGUAGCCCAAAAUCACAUAUUGCAGAUUUAAAACAAAAUUGUGUUUUAUUUGUUUGUUUUCAUGGCAACAUAGUUUUUUUUAAACUAGCAGGUAGCAGUUGCAAUUUUGAUAAAGCAUCACUGAUUCAUUCCAGCCUCUUCUCACAGGCUACAACUUAAAAUCUAAUACAUUUUCCUCACAUGCUUCACAGACAGUAGGUAGACUAACAGUGACAUGCUUACUUACGGGCCCCUUCCCAACAAUGCAGAAAAAUAAUAAGGAAUAACUGUAACAAUAACUUUGCUAUAUCCACGGGGUACCAGUACCAAUAUGCAGAGGUACAAGGUAAUUGAAGAUAUUUAUUUAACCCUUAAUUAAGAAAGUCAGUUAAGAACAAAUGUUCAUUUACAAUGACAGCCUACCCCGGAAAACCCCUAACCACGCUGGACCAAUUGUGCGUUGCCCUAUGGGACUCCCAAUCACAGCUAGUUGUAAUACAGCUUGGAAUCAAACCAGGGUCUGUAGUGACACCUCUAGCACUGAGAUGCAGUGCCUUAGACCGCUGUGCCACUCAGAGGUGUGUAUUUAUAUAUAUUGGUAGAGGUAAAGUGACUUGGCAACAGGAUGACUGAUAAGUGAAUUAUCAGCUCAUGUACAGUACAUGCCACUUACCAUAUGUGCCAUUGAUGAGAUAAAUCUGUCUAAUCUGCUCAAUUGUAUUCAGAGACAUUGUAAUAAAUAAAGACAUUGCAAAAUCCAUUUAAUUUCCUUUUUGUCUUUAGUAAAUUCUAUGAUCAUACAGGUGUCAACAUGUUUAUUCCCAGGUAAUAAGAGCUUGGUUUCUACAUGUGUGGAUCCACUGGUAAUGUAUUGCCAUUUCCUCUAUAAUAGAAAUACUUCAGCAUAUUGCUAUUUCUGCCCCAUUGUCACCUGGGUGAGACAUGCCCACUUGUCCAGUCAAAUUCUGAAUUCCAAAUCACACCCUAUCUUUUCAGAUAUACAGUUGUGUGGAGGGGGCAAGGUGGCAAAUUGGACUCAAGAAAAUGUAUGCAUCUCAUAGGCUGAGAGGAUACUGCAGUACACCAGGGGUGUAUUCUCAAUACUCUUUUAACGUGGCUUCCUCGCCACACCUUUCUUCAAAUAAACUGAUUUGGGAGACUUAAGUGAUGAACGAUCAGGUGAGACAAGGAAACAAAGCCACGUUAGACUAUCGAGAUGCACUGAGCUAAUGACAUAGUCAGCUUCAGUGGUAGGUUAUUUUGCAUUACAUUUCCAUUUCCUCCUGGGUCUGUUCAAAAUGGUACUCUAUUCCCUACAUAGUGCAGUACAUUUGACCAGGGCUCUGGUGAGAAAUGGUGCAGUACAGGGAAUAGAGUGCCAAUAGAGCCCUGGUUCUGCAGUAGGUGGGUCACUCUUUGACCUUGUGGACCAGGGUCUCCCCCAGUGACUCCAGGACCUCCCGUUUGUAGUCCUCGAAGUCCCCGUCUAUCUGGCUUACACCACUCCAGCAGACGCUUGGCAUUGUGCAUGGUGAUUUUAGGCUUGUGUGCUGCUGUUUGGCCAUGGAAACGCAUUUCAUUAAGCUCCCAACAAACAUUCGUGCUGACGUUGCUUUCAGAGGCAGUUUGGAACUCUGUAGAGUGUUGCAACAGAGGACAGACAAUAUCUUCACGCUACAGCACUUGCCGGUCCCGUUCUGUGAGCUUGUGUGGCUUACCACUUCGAGGCUCAGCAGUUGUUGCUCCCAGACGUUUCCACUCCACAAUAACAGCACUCACAGUUGACCUGGGCAGUUCUAGCUGAGCAGAAAUUUGACUUACUGACUUGUUGGAAAGGUGGCAUCCUAUGACGGUGCCACGUUGAAAGUCACUGAGUUCUUCAGUACAGGCCAUUCUACUUACAAUGUUUGGGCGGGGUUGUGGCAGCUAAAAUAAAGCUAUUCCGACGAACAAACUGGAGGCAAAACUAGUAAUGAAAUGUCAAUUAAUUGAAGAAAACGUAUUUUAUUAGGUAUUCAAAUUCCUCGACGGCCA